GGGUUGUGAGGUUAAGCGACUAAGCGUACACGGUGGAUGCCCUGGCAGUCAGAGGCGAUGAAGGACGUGCUAAUCUGCGAAAAGCGUCGGUAAGGUGAUAUGAACCGUUAUAACCGGCGAUGUCCGAAUGGGGAAACCCAGUGCAAUUCGUUGCACUAUCGUUAACUGAAUACAUAGGUUAACGAGGCGAACCGGGGGAACUGAAACAUCUAAGUACCCCGAGGAAAAGAAAUCAACCGAGAUUCCCCCAGUAGCGGCGAGCGAACGGGGAGCAGCCCAGAGUCUGAAUCAGCUUGUGUGUUAGUGGAACGGUCUGGAAAGUCCGACGGUACAGGGUGAUAGUCCCGUACACCAAAAUGCACAGGCUGUGAACUCGAAGAGUAGGGCGGGACACGUGGUAUCCUGUCUGAAUAUGGGGGGACCAUCCUCCAAGGCUAAAUACUCCUGACUGACCGAUAGUGAACCAGUACCGUGAGGGAAAGGCGAAAAGAACCCCGGCGAGGGGAGUGAAAAAGAACCUGAAACCGUGUACGUACAAGCAGUGGGAGCACCUUCGGGUGUGACUGCGUACCUUUUGUAUAAUGGGUCAGCGACUUAUAUUCUGUAGCAAGGUUAACCGUAUAGGGGAGCCGCAGGGAAACCGAGUCUUAACUGGGCGUUAAGUUGCAGGGUAUAGACCCGAAACCCGGUGAUCUAGCCAUGGGCAGGUUGAAGGUUGGGUAACACUAACUGGAGGACCGAACCGACUAAUGUUGAAAAAUUAGCGGAUGACUUGUGGCUGGGGGUGAAAGGCCAAUCAAACCGGGAGAUAGCUGGUUCUCCCGAAAGCUAUUUAGGUAGCGCCUCGUGAAUUCAUCUUCGGGGGUAGAGCACUGUUUCGGCUAGGGGGUCAUCCCGACUUACCAACCCGAUGCAAACUACGAAUACCGAAGAAUGUUAUCACGGGAGACACACGGCGGGUGCUAACGUCCGUCGUGAAGAGGGAAACAACCCAGACCGCCAGCUAAGGUCCCAAAGUCAUGGUUAAGUGGGAAACGAUGUGGGAAGGCACAGACAGCCAGGAUGUUGGCUUAGAAGCAGCCAUCAUUUAAAGAAAGCGUAAUAGCUCACUGGUCGAGUCGGCCUGCGCGGAAGAUGUAACGGGGCUAAACCAUGCACCGAAGCUGCGGCAGCGACACUAUGUGUUGUUGGGUAGGGGAGCGUUCUGUAAGCCUGCGAAGGUGUGCUGUGAGGCAUGCUGGAGGUAUCAGAAGUGCGAAUGCUGACAUAAGUAACGAUAAAGCGGGUGAAAAGCCCGCUCGCCGGAAGACCAAGGGUUCCUGUCCAACGUUAAUCGGGGCAGGGUGAGUCGGCCCCUAAGGCGAGGCCGAAAGGCGUAGUCGAUGGGAAACAGGUUAAUAUUCCUGUACUUGGUGUUACUGCGAAGGGGGGACGGAGAAGGCUAUGUUAGCCGGGCGACGGUUGUCCCGGUUUAAGCAUGUAGGCUGGUUGUCCAGGCAAAUCCGGAUAAUCAAGGCUGAGGUGUGAUGACGAGGCACUACGGUGCUGAAGUAACAAAUGCCCUGCUUCCAGGAAAAGCCUCUAAGCAUCAGGUAACAUCAAAUCGUACCCCAAACCGACACAGGUGGUCAGGUAGAGAAUACCAAGGCGCUUGAGAGAACUCGGGUGAAGGAACUAGGCAAAAUGGUGCCGUAACUUCGGGAGAAGGCACGCUGGUGUGUAGGUGAAGUCCCUGCGGAUGGAGCUGAGACCAGUCGAAGAUACCAGCUGGCUGCAACUGUUUAUUAAAAACACAGCACUGUGCAAACACGAAAGUGGACGUAUACGGUGUGACGCCUGCCCGGUGCCGGAAGGUUAAUUGAUGGGGUUAUCCGUAAGGAGAAGCUCUUGAUCGAAGCCCCGGUAAACGGCGGCCGUAACUAUAACGGUCCUAAGGUAGCGAAAUUCCUUGUCGGGUAAGUUCCGACCUGCACGAAUGGCGUAAUGAUGGCCAGGCUGUCUCCACCCGAGACUCAGUGAAAUUGAACUCGCUGUGAAGAUGCAGUGUACCCGCGGCAAGACGGAAAGACCCCGUGAACCUUUACUAUAGCUUGACACUGAACAUUGAGCCUUGAUGUGUAGGAUAGGUGGGAGGCUUUGAAGCGUGGACGCCAGUCUGCGUGGAGCCAACCUUGAAAUACCACCCUUUAAUGUUUGAUGUUCUAACGUUGGCCCCUUACCGGGGUUGCGGACAGUGUCUGGUGGGUAGUUUGACUGGGGCGGUCUCCUCCCAAAGCGUAACGGAGGAGCACGAAGGUUAGCUAAUCCUGGUCGGACAUCAGGAGGUUAGUGCAAUGGCAUAAGCUAGCUUGACUGCGAGCGUGACGGCGCGAGCAGGUGCAAGCAGGUCAUAGUGAUCCGGUGGUUCUGAAUGGAAGGGCCAUCGCUCAACGGAUAAAAGGUACUCCGGGGAUAACAGGCUGAUACCGCCCAAGAGUUCAUAUCGACGGCGGUGUUUGGCACCUCGAUGUCGGCUCAUCACAUCCUGGGGCUGAAGUAGGUCCCAAGGGUAUGGCUGUUCGCCAUUUAAAGUGGUACGCGAGCUGGGUUUAGAACGUCGUGAGACAGUUCGGUCCCUAUCUGCCGUGGGCGCUGGAGAAUUGAGGGGGGCUGCUCCUAGUACGAGAGGACCGGAGUGGACGCAUCACUGGUGUUCGGGUUGUCAUGCCAAUGGCACUGCCCGGUAGCUAAAUGCGGAAGAGAUAAGUGCUGAAAGCAUCUAAGCACGAAACUUGCCCCGAGAUGAGUUCUCCCUGAGACUUUAAGUCUCCUGAAGGAACGUUGAAGACGACGACGUUGAUAGGCCGGGUGUGUAAGCGCAGCGAUGCGUUGAGCUAACCGGUACUAAUGAACCGUGAGGCUUAACCUUACAACGCCGAAG
RNAcentral lists this ribosomal RNA (2920 nucleotides) under Klebsiella pneumoniae. Its description in RNAcentral is "23S ribosomal RNA". It matches the Rfam family "Bacterial large subunit ribosomal RNA". The record is from RNAcentral. Lineage: Bacteria; Pseudomonadati; Pseudomonadota; Gammaproteobacteria; Enterobacterales; Enterobacteriaceae.